RNAcentral lists this ribosomal RNA (460 nucleotides) under uncultured bacterium. Its description in RNAcentral is "partial 16S ribosomal RNA". It matches the Rfam family "Bacterial small subunit ribosomal RNA", at positions 338 to 795 of the family's 1533-position model. The record is from RNAcentral.
CCUACGGGUGGCAGCAGUGAGGAAUAUUGGUCAAUGGGCGAGAGCCUGAACCAGCCAAGUAGCGUGAAGGAUGACGGCCCUACGGGUUGUAAACUUCUUUUAUAAAGGAAUAAAGUGAGGCACGUGUGCCUUUUUGUAUGUACUUUAUGGAUAAGGAUCGGCUAACUCCGUGCCAGCAGCCGGGGUAAUACGGAGGAUCCGAGCGUUAUCCGGAUUUAUUGGGUUUAAAGGGAGGGUAGAGGGGUUGUUAAGUCAGUUGUGAAAGUUUGCGGCUCAACCGUAAAAUUGCAAUUGAUACUGGCAGUCUUGAGUACAGUAGAGGUGGGCGGAAUUCGUGGUGUAGCGGUGAAAUGCUUAGAUAUCACGAAGAACUCCGAUUGCGAAGGCAGCUCACUGGACUGCAACUGACACUGAGGCUCGAAAGUGUGGGUAUCAAACAGGAUUAGAUACCCGUGUAGUC